CACACACAACACACUGCGCCCUUCACACAUACAAUACGUCCAAACAUAUAUUUAUAUAUGUAUGUGUUUGGACGUAUUGUAUGUGUGAAGGGCGCAGUGUGUUGGGUGUGCU
This 112-nucleotide microRNA precursor is filed under the name Pelobates cultripes (western spadefoot toad). Lineage: Eukaryota; Metazoa; Chordata; Amphibia; Anura; Pelobatidae. The record is from RNAcentral.